This 405-nucleotide unclassified non-coding RNA is filed under the name Zea mays. RNAcentral describes it as "misc RNA Zm00001eb024480". Lineage: Eukaryota; Viridiplantae; Streptophyta; Magnoliopsida; Poales; Poaceae. The record is from RNAcentral.
CUGCUUCGACCCCGUCGCCGGGCACCACCUCUUCGAUGGCUCUGCCUCAAAGUUGCAGCCCGCUACACUGGAGCUCUGUUCGGUCGCACCCCUCGGGCCCCAACCACGGCAGCGAAACCGUCCUCACCGGUCCCCUCCUUCUUCCCCUCCCGCAGUCCAGCAAGCAGUAGCAUGACCCUCUCCCCGGCGUCUCCAACUACCUUAGGCACCGCCAUCGCCCUCAACGGUGAACCCGCCCAACGAGGCAUGGCCGCCGGAUCAGGUGCGACCCGACCACCGGCUAAUCAGCUGCCCUUCCGCGAUGGCAACGCCCGGUACCAUCGCCCUCGACGGCGAGCCCGCCCAGCUAGGAGUGGCCUCCAGAUCAGGUGCGACCCGGUCGUUGGAGAAAGUAAUGUUAUUUGA